AAAUUGAAGAGUUUGAUCAUGGCUCAGAUUGAACGCUGGCGGCAGGCCUAACACAUGCAAGUCGAACGGUAACAGGAAGCAGCUUGCUGCUUCGCUGACGAGUGGCGGACGGGUGAGUAAUGUCUGGGAAACUGCCUGAUGGAGGGGGAUAACUACUGGAAACGGUAGCUAAUACCGCAUAACGUCGCAAGACCAAAGAGGGGGACCUUCGGGCCUCUUGCCAUCGGAUGUGCCCAGAUGGGAUUAGCUUGUUGGUGGGGUAACGGCUCACCAAGGCGACGAUCCCUAGCUGGUCUGAGAGGAUGACCA
This 309-nucleotide ribosomal RNA is filed under the name Escherichia coli. RNAcentral describes it as "bacterial SSU rRNA". It matches the Rfam family "Bacterial small subunit ribosomal RNA", at positions 1 to 306 of the family's 1533-position model. Lineage: Bacteria; Pseudomonadati; Pseudomonadota; Gammaproteobacteria; Enterobacterales; Enterobacteriaceae. The record is from RNAcentral. RNAcentral also lists the same sequence under 2 other names.